GAACGACGCUGGCGGCGUGCUUAACACAUGCAAGUCGAACGCGAACGGGACUUCGGUUCCUAGUAGAGUGGCGCACGGUGAGUAACGCGUAGAUAACCUAUCUUUAUGUCUGGAAUAACACGCCGAAAGGGGUACUAAUACCGGAUAUUCUUGCAUUUCAUAAGUAAGGCAAGGAAAGGUGGCCUCUGGUUCAAGCUACUGCAUAGAGAGGGGUCUGCGUACCAUUAGCUAGUAGGUGGGGUAAUGGCCUACCUAGGCGACGAUGGUUAGCGGGUCUGAGAGGAUGAUCCGCCACACUGGCACUGAAAUACGGGCCAGACUCCUACGGGAGGCAGCAGUGAGGAAUAUUGCGCAAUGGGGAAACCCUGACGCAGCGACGCCGCGUGAGUGAGGGAAAGGCCUUCGGGUCGUAAAGCUCUGUCAAGAGGGAAGAAGUGCGUGGUAGCUAAUAUCUGCCAUGUUUGACGGUACCUCUAAAGGAAGCACCGGCUAACUCCGUGCCAGCCGCCGC
RNAcentral lists this ribosomal RNA (511 nucleotides) under uncultured bacterium. RNAcentral describes it as "bacterial SSU rRNA". It matches the Rfam family "Bacterial small subunit ribosomal RNA", at positions 33 to 518 of the family's 1533-position model. The record is from RNAcentral.